Molecule: ribosomal RNA, 495 nt
Filed under: uncultured bacterium
Lineage: Bacteria
Description: partial 16S ribosomal RNA
Rfam family: Bacterial small subunit ribosomal RNA
Source: RNAcentral
GACGAACGCUGGCGGCGUGCCUAAUACAUGCAAGUAGAACGCUGAAGGAGGAGCUUGCUUCUCUGGAUGAGUUGCGAACGGGUGAGUAACGCGUAGGUAACCUGCCUGGUAGCGGGGGAUAACUAUUGGAAACGAUAGCUAAUACCGCAUAAGAGUAGAUGUUGCAUGACAUUUGCUUAAAAGGUGCAAUUGCAUCACUACCAGAUGGACCUGCGUUGUAUUAGCUAGUUGGUGGGGUAACGGCUUACCAAGGCGACGAUACAUAGCCGACCUGAGAGGGUGAUCGGCCACACGGGGACUGAGACACGGCCCAGACUCCUACGGGAGGCAGCAGUAGGGAAUCUUCGGCAAUGGACGGAAGUCUGACCGAGCAACGCCGCGUGAGUGAAGAAGGUUUUCGGAUCGUAAAGCUCUGUUGUAAGAGAAGAACGAGUGUGAGAGUGGAAAGUUCACACUGUGACGGUAGCUGACCAGAAAGGGACGGCUAACUACGUG